CAUAGUUGAAUGGCAGAUUCCUGGACAAUGGGAUAGAUGAAAAUCACAGCCCUCUUAUCAAAGAGAAGAACAGAAAGGUAUGAGAGAGCUGACAGAAUACAGCAGAAAAGAAGCCAUGAGGGGGAAGAAAUGGACUGUAAAAGAAGUACAAAUCGGGAGAUUUGCUGAAUGAUAAGAUCAGACUCAAGGGGCCUCCAGAAGUCUGCCUUUGGUCAAAAUGUUUUUGAACAAAAAUGGUCCAGAGCUCUCUGCAGCCCUGCACAGAUAUGAAAGUCAUGCUAGAGCAAGAAUCAUGAUUAAAGAAUGAAAAUAAAGCUGAAGUCUGCACUGAGGAAUCUUCUUCGUUGGCACCCCUCUGAUGCUUGCUGCAACAGUAUUUGAGCACAUCUUCAGAAAAAUGUACUCCUCCUCAACUCCCAGUUUGAGGCAGGAAAGUAUUCUCCACAUUUCACAGACGAAAGAAAAGAUUAAGUCACUUUCUCUGUACAAUAUAGGGAGCAAGUGCCAAGGGCUCAAAACGUGUCCAGCUCUCUCAGAUUACACUCCAGUGUCCUAAUUAUUAUGGCAAUUAGCCUCUUGCGUGCAUUAUGGUUUAACUCACUAUAUAUCAUGUUAUCUCUGCAAUGAAUGUAAAAGAGCUAAGCCUAGCAGACGUUAUCAGGGGACAACGCUCUACAGGACAGUGCUCAGUUCAGCUUUGUCUGUCUGGCAAGCAAGCAGUACGUGAGCAUGUGGAACGAGAAGUAUGGGCUCAUGUAACAAAGCCUUAGAAGCAGCCCUACAAUCACUUUUUUAAACUGUUGUUUUCCAGGCAAAUGCUUCAUGGAGUAAGAUUCACACCGCUUUUAUUGGACUGUGUGCAUUUGAUCAGUGGUAGAGGAAAGCACCAAUUCCACAGUGUACCUAUAUUUCCUGAACAAAUGUUGGACAAUAAUAAGCUGGAGAAAGGCAACAGUGAUGGAAAUGACUGUAUGAAUCAGCACUGAGAUGGUGAUAAAAUAGCUGCAACUGCAUUUGUGCUGUGCUGGACACUGUGUUGUGCAAAAGACCCAGUGCUUCGAUUAGCCAACUAUGUGUGGAAGCAGAGAGAGAGAUGUUAGUGAAAAUACAGCAUUACCACUUCUGCCUUCUGCUGACUCCUAGCACUGCCAUCCCACAGCAAAGCUCAGACAUUUGCCAAACAGUAGUUUCCCCAAGGCUAUUCCUUCCUCAUGGCGCCCCUCUUGCUGCAUCCUCCACUCUGUAGUGACACCUCUGACUCAUCUGGGAGAACAGGGUCUCUUCUGUUUCCAUGUACUUGCAUAUUUUCUACAAGAAAAGAAGAUAAUUACUUGACUAUAGCUUGAUUAUAGAGAAACCACUCUGCAAUGUUGUAAAUUUCCCAGUAUGACUGAUUGUUAUCUUCUAAAAACAGCUCUGUAAAUCUACUGCACUUGUGGAAACUGCAUUAAAUAUGUCCUUAAAGCUUUGACAUAUGAUUCAGUCUACACUAGUUUUCCAAAGACAUGUCUCUGAACUUCCUCUGGCAUUUAAAGUUUCUACCACCCACCUCCUGUAGUCCAGAGGUGUUUAAAAUACAGUAGAAAGCUUCUUUAAUAGUGCAAAAUACACAAUUUUUCAUCAUCCCUUAUUUUUGAAGGUUGUAUUUACUAGGAAAAAAAAUCAUUCUGGGCUACUACCUGGACUGAGAAGAAGCAGCCUAUUUCAGAUGGAAAAAAGUAAAGCAGAGUUACAGGGAGCUGAAAGGCAUCUCACAGAAAAGUUUGUGCAGCUUUAGUGACAGGCACUGCUUUACAUUCUGCCUAUAACAAGCACACAUUUCAUUGCAGCUUCAACUCCAGCUGGGAGCAGAGCUAUGUAUGCACUAAAGUAAUAUACAGUGAAAGGAUAGUUGUAUGGUAGAAACAAAGUACUGGGUGUCAGGAGAUAUGGGUUUCAGACCUGGCUUUGCCCUCAACUAUGCAUUGAAAUAAACCACUUGGUUGGUUUCUCUCUCCCUCUGAAUAGCCACUUGUAAAAUUAAUGCAGUACUUAUACACCUCUUGGAGGUGCUGGAUUGCUAAGUCAGUUUCUUGGAGGAUUAUUUUAGGUGAACCGUAGAAGUUGCUAAAAUGUUACUGCAGACACUGAAAGAAUUCACCUUCUGCCUUUAGCAUCAUUCUUAAUCAUGUAGCUAAAAGGAUCUCAGAUAGUCCUGAUGCUUUGGGGAGCCAGUGGAAGUAAUAUCAUCAAUGACUAGUUAAGUAUAUUGUUCGACUGUGGGCAGAGUUUUAUAUUCUUUGCUUUAGAUAUCUAACUUUAAACUACUGAAAGUCUACAUUUAACUUAGGAGCCAAGUCUUCCUGGGUUAUCUGUAUUAUCUGUAGAGACCUAUGCUCCUGCAAAAGGGCCUUCCAAGGUAUCUAAAUUAGGUUUUCCUUUUAAACUGCUCUCCAGAAGAGCCUAUUUAUCAUCGUUAACUAUGCAGGGUAUAAAGAGUAAUUAGGAAUGGGAUUCAGCUCACCAGGUUUCAGUGCCUGACAGGUAGAUGCUUGCAUCUGAACUAGCCAUUUGGACUCUGUGGUGAGAAACAAGCACUUCAGAGUGCAAAAUAGACAUUUCUCACAAAAGAUGUCUGUUUCUCCACGCUGCCCUAAAGAGAAUGUGUACAGUUGCUAUUAAGUAAAUCUCUCUAUUGAAGAAGUAUCAAGUUAGAAUCCUAAAGUCUGAAUGCCUCCUUCUGGCCUGCUCCCUACCCAUCCCUCAUGUGAAAAAAAAAAUAUAUAUAUAUGUUAUUCUUAGGGUUUAAAACUAACAACAUGAUUUUCGACACAGCUUUAAACAAAGAUUAGCCCCCAAACAGAAAUUCUGGCAGCAGAUAGUUUUGGUCUGCCUCUUACUCUGAAGUGACAAAACUUUUGUUGAACAGGCUUCUUGGGCUCAGGAUUUAAUUUUAAGGUAGGCAUGCCAAACCCAAAUAGGCCAGCGCUCAGGGCAAUUUGCCUGAUUCAGAACAAGAACAUGAGUCUCAGUUUUUCUUAUGCCAGAUGAGAGCUUACGGACUGAGUUGUUGGCAGUUCUUCUCUGGGCCUCUCUCUUUUUCUCCUGCCUCCCACUCUCCCUGUCUCCCUUCUCCCAACCCCUGAAAAAAGUUUUUGCCAGGUUUGCCUUAGUUUCUUUCUCCAUCAGAAUAGAAACAUAUUUCAAAAUCUAAAAUCUGUGACAAAACAGAAUUCUUGUUUUCAGGCCAACGUGCCUAAAAGAAUCCUUAGCAUGAUCAGGUCAGUGUAAUCCAUGUUGCUUAAGUGGUCGAAAGCCUCUCUGUUUUUAAAGAUAAAAAUAAGCUUGUGGGAAGCAUCAAAUGAAAAAUGUUUUAGGAAAAGGAAUUUAAGCGAGUUUUUCAAAGUGACAUAUAAAAACAAAAAGAAUGUUUUUUUUAAUUUUCUGGCUUCACUUAGUUUCCUGUUUCUGUGUGUUACAAUCGCAUUUUAAUAAAGAUAUUAUUGCAUUCUUUUUGUCGUAGAUACUGUUUUGUGGUAAAUAAAAUAGGAUCCUGCUUUUUCCAA
Dromaius novaehollandiae (emu) is the source of this 3545-nucleotide long non-coding RNA. RefSeq lists it as uncharacterized. The transcript has 4 exons. Lineage: Eukaryota; Metazoa; Chordata; Aves; Casuariiformes; Dromaiidae. The record is from RefSeq and is a predicted model, not a curated record.